Long non-coding RNA from Topomyia yanbarensis, 1789 nucleotides. RefSeq lists it as uncharacterized. The record is from RefSeq and is a predicted model, not a curated record. NCBI's taxonomy places the organism in Eukaryota, Metazoa, Arthropoda, Insecta, Diptera, Culicidae. The transcript is spliced from 4 exons.
UGACAAUAGGCAACAUCGUUUUUGCACCGAUCGAUGGGGGUAAGAUUGACAACGUCAAAAUCGCUUAAAGCGUCAUCAACAAACAAUAGUAGCAGUAAACAAAAGAAAACAAUGAACACUAACUGAUUUGAUGUAAACUAAAGUGCUCCUCGUUCGUAUUAAAAAUUCAUUUCGUUCAUGUUGUUACAAGCAAAGUUCUUAUGUUGGCUACGAAAAUAUGACGUCACGUCACCCUCUUGCUCUAGUCUUCACAGCCUUUUAAAUGUCUUCAAAAUGAAGACAUAUCUUCACAUCUGGCAUCGCUGCAUACGAGGUAUCAAACGGCCAUAUUUCCAUGUUAAACCACUGGAUCGCUCUAAGUUGACAAAGUGGAAGGAAAACCUCGAUUUUGCAAUCGAAAAUGUGGAUAAGAAACGUAUUCUUGUAUUGCUUGAACGAUUGGACGAACCGGAUAAUGUUCUACGAUCCUUAACCUGAUAUGAAGCUUACGCUAACAGGUUGUCGUUGCAAAUAAACAUACUUACAUACAUUAUUAUUAUCCGAGGUGCUGAAGAAUAAUUCCCCAUCCGGACAAACUUGGUGUGCACCGGUGUGGCAUUUGCGAAAUUUCAUUACAACAACAAAACCGAUGAGAUACUUGCAAAUCUGGAGGUUUGUUCCAGCUGAUGCAAAUUGACUGUGGGCGAAUAAAUUUGGAGCGCCGUCGUGACGACAAAUGCGUUCAGCUGUAUUAAACGUGUCUGGUGCAAGCAAAUAACUAUUACCGAUAAAAUGGUCAUGAAUAAUAUGCCUGAUUCUUCAAGAUUAAAACAUGUCAACCAGGCACAGGUGCUCGAGGAAGACACGACGACCACGGAAGUUGCACUGCAGUUUAUGGCACGGGAUGGUUUGAAGCGAAUAAAAAGAGGUAUCAUUUGCAUAGUGUUCGUUUCCUUCAUUUACAACAGUGUAAUUUCUAGAAAACUACCCGGAUAGAAUUUUACAAUAGCAUUUACUUUACAAACAACCAUAAAACAAAAAAUAUAGUUAUUACUGUUCAUUGUUCGAUACAAAGUUCUCACAGUAGAUUUUUAAUAAAAUUUCAUGUAACAAUGAAUUUUACUGUUCAGCAAAAAACUGAUACAGUAAAUGCACAUUACAUUUUACUGUUUUCGAGAAAAAAAUGUAUGGAGCAAAAUCGAUUUUUUUAAUGUUAAGAUACAUAACCACCCCCCUUUUUUUACUGUAAAAGUCUAUUUUACAUUGAAAUUUACUGUAAAAACGUUAAAGUUUAUUGUUUUUGUAUUGUAGCAUAACACUAAAACUUACUGUAAGUUAUUGUAAAAUUACUGUACUGUAACAGUGAAAAUCAUGGUUUUAUUACUGUACAUUUCUAUUCGGGUAUCUCCACCCAAAAAAUCAUCAAAGGAAAUUGCGUCCAGUGCACAGUUGGAAUUAUGGUACAACUAUGCUAGCACAACUCCUACUAUUACGGAACUCUGGCAACCCAAUCCAGUCAGUAUCAAUACGAGGAGAGUUCGCCAUACGGCUACAACACCUGAAAUCAACAAUAUUCCAAAGCUGGCUACAGGGAGUACAGUCAGUGGAGCCUGUAUGGAUGUUAUUAAGACUUACAACGGUCACAACAUACAGGCCAGUUGGGGUGCUAGUGCUACAAUUGUACUGACGUAAAGGAUGAUCUCUGCAACAACCCUGAAAUGUUGAAAGUUGUAUGCCAACUGAUUCUGUAAGUUUUAGAACGGUUUUAUUAUAAAUAAAAAUUAAACCCUUGCAAAAAAUGUUUUAUUUU